AGUGAACGCUGGCGGUAGGCCUAACACAUGCAAGUCGAACGGAAGCACAGUAAGAGCUUGCUCUUACGGGUGGCGAGUGGCGGACGGGUGAGGAAUAGAUAGGAAACUACUUUUUCGGGGGGGAUAACGGAAGGAAACAGACGAUAAUACAGCAUACGAUCUACGGGAGAAAGCAGGGGAUCUUGGGAGCUUGCGCGAAUGAAAGAGACGAUGUCGGAUUAGCUAGUUGGGGGGGUAACGGCCCACCAAGGCGACGAUCCGUAGCUGGUCUGAGAGGAUGAUCAGCCACACUGGAACUGAGACACGGUCCAGACUCCUACGGGAGGCAGCAGUGGGGAAUAUUGGACAAUGGGCGCAAGCCUGAUCCAGCCAUGCCGCGUGGGUGAAGAAGGCCUUCGGGUUGUAAAGCCCUUUUGUUGGGAAAGAAAAGCAGCAGGUUAAUACCCCGCUGUUCUGACGGUACCCAAAGAAUAAGCACCGGCUAACUUCGUG
This 492-nucleotide ribosomal RNA is filed under the name uncultured bacterium. RNAcentral's name for it is "partial 16S ribosomal RNA". It matches the Rfam family "Bacterial small subunit ribosomal RNA", at positions 29 to 507 of the family's 1533-position model. The record is from RNAcentral.